UACGUAGGGGGCUAGCGUUGUCCGGAAUCAUUGGGCGUAAAGAGCGUGUAGGCGGCCCGGUAAGUCCGCUGUAAAAGUCAAAGGCUCAACCUUUGAAUGUCAGUGGAUACUGCCGGGCUAGAGUCCGGAAGAGGCGAGUGGAACUCCUGGUGUAGCGGUGGAAUGCGCAGAUAUCAGGAGGAACACCGAUGGCGAAGGCAGCUCGCUGGGACGGUACUGACGCUGAGGCGCGAAAGCGUGGGGAGCGAACAGG
Molecule: ribosomal RNA, 253 nt
Filed under: uncultured bacterium
Lineage: Bacteria
Description: partial 16S ribosomal RNA
Rfam family: Bacterial small subunit ribosomal RNA
Source: RNAcentral